This 1445-nucleotide unclassified non-coding RNA is filed under the name Monomorium pharaonis (pharaoh ant). Its description in RNAcentral is "post-GPI attachment to proteins factor 3, transcript variant X1". Lineage: Eukaryota; Metazoa; Arthropoda; Insecta; Hymenoptera; Formicidae. The record is from RNAcentral.
UCUUUCAUUAUUUCUGCUUCCUACUGCCUGUUGCCAGGCAUUGUGUUUAAGCCCUUAUGUUCUUCCAUCAUGCUUUAUACCAUGCAUAAUAUAUGUUUUUAGUGGUUCGACCGGUUCAACGUUAAUCGACAUGUUAAAAUCUGUAUGGAUUUUUUUUAUUAUUUUUCAAGUUUGCCUUGUUAGAAAUACAGUUGGUUCGAUAGGUGACAAGUCACAAAUAUACAAUCAAUGUCUCGCACUGUGUCGCAGUAGCAACUGCAAAAAUGAAACAGAUUUUAAGGAACAACCUUCUUUAUCGUUAAUCUUGCUACACUGGUCUUGUAAGGAAGAUUGCAGUUAUAUUUGCACAUGGAGAACUGUUGAUUACUUUGUAUCUCACGGUUUGAAGAUACCACAGUUUCAUGGAAAAAUAUGCUUAAACGGAUGGUUUUGGUCAACUGUAUUUCACUCGCGGGACUGGCCAUUUACAGAAGCUAUGGACUAUUCUUGUGCAUUCAGUAUGGUACUUACACUGUUAUAUUGUAUGCUUUUAAGGAUAACGAAUCUAAGAACUAAAGCAUUUUUUGUAAUAACUUGUGGAUAUGUGAGCAUUUUAUGUACACAUUUGUCACAUUUAUGGUCAGGCAGAAUUAAUUAUGGUUAUAAUAUGAUGCUUAAUGUAACUAUAGGACUAACAACUGUUGCGACAACAAUGCUAUGGUGGUAUUUUAACCACAACAAGUUACCAUAUAUGUACUUAAUUGCUUGGUUCAAUAUAUUGACUAUUCUCAUGUCUCUACUAGAGUUGGUAGACUUUCCUCCUAUUUUUUGGAUAUUUGAUGCUCAUUCCUUGUGGCAUGCCAGUACAGUUCCUUUAACGAUAUUAUUAUAUAGGUUUAUGAUUACAGAUUGCUGUUAUCUGAAAAGAUAUUAUGAUAGAUCAUUUUUUAAUAUUGAUCACCACUGGCAGUAAUUUAUUUUACAUAAUGCUAAUCUGUAUAGGCCUUCAUAAAUCUUCAAGGGCAGUAACAAACAUUGGCAGGGAGAUCAUAAUGUUGUUAAUCUUUGCAGAAAAUAUGAUUAUCAUCUCUGUGCUUCUCAAGAUUUCCAGAUAGGGUCGGAUCUGGCCGCCGCCUUUUAAAGAAGCCGAGUUUUCUCAGUAUUAAUGUAAGUAGAAUGAAUAACAACAUUCCAGCCACUGCGGCUACUACAUAUAUCCAAACUGGUACAGGCUCAGCUUCUUGUUGAUCUAAUAGAUCUGGAUAAGCAAUUGUCUCGGCCUAUGUAACAAUGUGAAAUAACUGUUAAAUAAUUUUUAUCGUUAUGUUUUUAACAUUUUUUACAUAUUUUUUCAUAUUAUAUCCAAGAAAAAUCCAAUAUUUGAAUUUUCUUAUCAGUUAUUAAUAUCUCAAAAUAUUGUAUAUAGAGAAAAAUAUACUUACGGUUGCGUAAUCGUCUUUCAAGUU